AAGGCUAUACUUUUAAGGAUGAUUUUUAUCGUCUGUGACUAGAGAAAUUUUGCACUGAAAGGUUCGGUCUCAGCAACCAGGAAGAGGAGCUGUGGCGUUUUUUCCCUGAGCGCGAAGUUGUCCACAAGCUUUGUUUUAUCCGAUGGUUUGCGGGCAUUGAUGACCUUUCCCUUCUCUCACUGCGAGAGUUGUGGAGGGAAGAAACGCUGUCUGAGUGGU
Molecule: small nucleolar RNA, 219 nt
Organism: Pristis pectinata (smalltooth sawfish)
Lineage: Eukaryota; Metazoa; Chordata; Chondrichthyes; Rhinopristiformes; Pristidae
Product: small nucleolar RNA U3
Exons: 1
Source: RefSeq, a predicted model, not a curated record